Molecule: ribosomal RNA, 468 nt
Filed under: uncultured bacterium
Lineage: Bacteria
Description: partial 16S ribosomal RNA
Rfam family: Bacterial small subunit ribosomal RNA
Source: RNAcentral
GACGAACGCUGGCGGCGUGCUUAACACAUGCAAGUCGAACGGACGGGCCCUGCUUUUGUUUGGUUCUCGAUUGCCGAACGGGUGAGUAACACGUGUGUAACCUCCCCUUGUCUUUCUGAUAACUUCUGGAAACUCGGGCUAUUACCGGCUAGGAUCUCCUGCUGCAUAUUGGGCGUUAGAAAGUUUCGGCGGUUGUGUAUGUACUGGCGGCUUAUCCGCUUGUUUGUGGGGUAGUGACUUACCAGGGCUUCGACGGGUAGCCGGCCUGGGAGGGUGACCGGGGACAUUGGGACUAAGAGAGGGCGCAGAAUGCUACGGGAGGCAGCAGGGGGGAACAUUGCACAAUGGGCGGAAGCGUGAUGCAGCAACGCCGGGUGCGGGAUGACGGCCUUCGGGUUGUAAACCGCUGUCGCAUGUGACGAAGCGUGAGUGACGGUAAUGGGUAAAGAAGCAACGGCUAACUACGUG